RNAcentral lists this unclassified non-coding RNA (240 nucleotides) under soil metagenome. RNAcentral's name for it is "partial contains 5.8S ribosomal RNA, internal transcribed spacer 2, and large subunit ribosomal RNA". The record is from RNAcentral.
AACCUAGCACACCUGCGGUGUGUACCUGCGGAGGGAUCAUUACCGAGUUUACAACUCCCAAACCCCUGUGAACAUACCUAUAAUUUGCCUCGGCGGACUCAACGACGGUGCUCCGAGAAAUCGGGCGCCGCUCGCUGCCAGAGGAACCCCAAACUCUAUGUAUUCUUGUGGAUCUUCUGAGUAAAACAAAACAAAUAAAUCAAAACUUUCAGCAACGGAUCUCAGAUCGGAAGAGCACAC